AGGGCACCACCAGGAGUGGAGCCUGCGGCUUAAUUUGACUCAACACGGGAAAUCUCACCAGGCCCGGACACUGGAAGGAUUGACAGAUUGAGAGCUCUUUCUCGAUUCGGUGGGUGGUGGUGCAUGGCCGUUCUUAGUUGGUGGAGUGAUUUGUCUGGUUAAUUCCGAUAACGAACGAGACUCUGUCCUGCUAAAUAGUUCCCGCGUCCUUUGUUGCGCGGGAAAUUCUUCUUAGAGGGACUGGCGGCGUCUAGCCGCACGAGAUUGAGCAAUAACAGGUCUGCGAUGCCCUUAGAUGUUCUGGGCCGCACGCGCGCUACACUGAAGGGAUCAGCGUGUCUUCCCCUCCCGAGAGGGACGGGUAACCCGCUGAACCCCCUUCGUGGUAGGGAUCGGGGCUUGCAAUUAUUCCCCGUGAACCAGGAAUUCCCAGUAAGCGCAAGUCAUAAGCUUGCGUUGAUUGCGUCCCUGCCCUUUGUACACACCGCCCGUCGCUACUAUCGAUUGAACGUUUUAGUG
Molecule: ribosomal RNA, 519 nt
Filed under: uncultured eukaryote
Lineage: Eukaryota
Description: SSU rRNA
Rfam family: Eukaryotic small subunit ribosomal RNA
Source: RNAcentral